Molecule: ribosomal RNA, 308 nt
Filed under: uncultured bacterium
Lineage: Bacteria
Description: bacterial SSU rRNA
Rfam family: Bacterial small subunit ribosomal RNA
Source: RNAcentral
AUUGAACGUUGGCGGCAGGCUUAAUACAUGCAAGUCGAGCGGUAACAGGAGAAGCUUGCUUCUCGCUGACGAGCGGCGGACGGGUGAGUAACGCGUAGGAAUCUACCCAGUAGCGGGGGAUAGCCCGAGGAAACUCGGAUUAAUACCGCAUACGCCCCACGGGGGAAAGGCCGGGAUCUUCGGACCGGUCACUAUUGGAGGAGCCUGCGUUGGAUUAGCUAGUUGGUGAGGUAAAGGCUCACCAAGGCGACGAUCCAUAGCUGGUCUGAGAGGACGAUCAGCCACACUGGAACUGAGACACGGUCCAG